This 253-nucleotide ribosomal RNA is filed under the name uncultured bacterium. RNAcentral's name for it is "partial 16S ribosomal RNA". It matches the Rfam family "Bacterial small subunit ribosomal RNA", at positions 524 to 776 of the family's 1533-position model. The record is from RNAcentral.
UACGGAGGGGGCUAGCGUUGUUCGGAAUUACUGGGCGUAAAGCGCACGUAGGCGGCUUUGUAAGUUAGAGGUGAAAGCCCGGAGCUCAACUCCGGAAUUGCCUUUAAGACUGCAUCGCUAGAAUUGUGGAGAGGUGAGUGGAAUUCCGAGUGUAGAGGUGAAAUUCGUAGAUAUUCGGAAGAACACCAGUGGCGAAGGCGACUCACUGGACACAUAUUGACGCUGAGGUGCGAAGGCGUGGGGAGCAAACAGG